UAUGUAAGAGGUAUUCUAUUCGCUCAAUAUUUCGGAUAACAAUGAUAACGUUCAGUAAGUUAGAUUUUGAUUUUGAUUUUGAGACGUCUGAUGUAUCAAUUAUGCACAGUAAGUAAGAGUAUAUUGGUUCACAGCAAUUACAGUAUUCGGCAGUAAAUUAUAUUCUGAUAUUGAGGCAUCUAGUAUAUCAAUUACGCACGUAAAUAAGCAGGAGUUUUUUAUUAGAUCGAUCUUUCGGAUAAUGAUAAUAACAACAUAGAGUAAGUUAGAUUCUGACUUUGAGGCGUAAAUAAUUAGGUUCUAAUUUUGAGACCUCUGAUAUAUCAAUUACGCACGUCCGAAAGUAGGCGUAUUCUGUUAGAUCGAUCUUUCAGGUAAUAAUAAUAAUAACAAAAUUAGUAAGUUAGAUUCUGAUUUUGAGGGGCCUGGCAUAUCAAUUACGCACAUUAAGUAGGAGAAUUCUGUCAGAUCAAUAUAUAUACUAGUUAAUAACAAACACAUGAUCAAUUACGUACGUAAAUAAGUAGGAGUAUUCUGUUAGGUAGAUCGAUCUUUUGGAUAAUAAUAAUGAUAAUAAUAGCAACGAUUGAUCGAUUGAUUGAUUGAGUAAGUU
This 613-nucleotide long non-coding RNA is filed under the name Ananas comosus (pineapple). RNAcentral describes it as "long non-coding RNA (ACOM_LNC031196)". The record is from RNAcentral. Lineage: Eukaryota; Viridiplantae; Streptophyta; Magnoliopsida; Poales; Bromeliaceae.